This 568-nucleotide ribosomal RNA is filed under the name Penicillium citreonigrum. RNAcentral's name for it is "eukaryotic LSU rRNA". The stretch from base 200 to 353 matches the Rfam family "5.8S ribosomal RNA". Lineage: Eukaryota; Fungi; Ascomycota; Eurotiomycetes; Eurotiales; Aspergillaceae. The record is from RNAcentral.
AGGUGAACCUGCGGAAGGAUCAUUACCGAGUGAGGGCCCUCUGGGUCCAACCUCCCACCCGUGUUUAUCGUACCUUGUUGCUUCGGCGGGCCCGCCGUAAGGCCGCCGGGGGGCAUCUGCCCUCUGGCCCGCGCCCGCCGAAGACACCAUUGAACGCUGUCUGAAGAUUGCAGUCUGAGCAAUUAGUUAAAUAACUUAAAACUUUCAACAACGGAUCUCUUGGUUCCGGCAUCGAUGAAGAACGCAGCGAAAUGCGAUACGUAAUGUGAAUUGCAGAAUUCAGUGAAUCAUCGAGUCUUUGAACGCACAUUGCGCCCCCUGGUAUUCCGGGGGGCAUGCCUGUCCGAGCGUCAUUGCUGCCCUCAAGCACGGCUUGUGUGUUGGGCUCCGUCCUCCUCCCGGGGGACGGGCCCGAAAGGCAGCGGCGGCACCGCGUCCGGUCCUCGAGCGUAUGGGGCUUCGUCACCCGCUCUGUAGGCCCGGCCGGCGCUUGCCGACACAUCAAUCUUUUUUCCAGGUUGACCUCGGAUCAGGUAGGGAUACCCGCUGAACUUAAGCAUAUCAAUAA